GUAGCCGCAGCCAUCGCCGGUUACCUGGAGGAGGAGACGGGAGUAGUGUCGUCGCCGGAGAACCCAUCUCUGCCACCACCGCCCAGCUCCGCCUCGAACCAGCGACGCCGCACUCCCCCGCCCUCCGCUGCGUUGCGAACCAGUCCGGUCGCAUAAAGGAGGAGAGUCCGGCCUGAAGGAGAGAAGACAGCAGCAACCUCGUCGCCGGAGAAGACCGGCUCCGUUACCGCCGCCUGCCUCGUGUGCGUCCGUCGUCUCUCUGCUCUGCCGCACCGUUGCUCAGCCGGCCGAAACCAACACACUGCCGGAGCGCCAUUGUUGAAGGAGCAAGUUUUGCAAGUUUUGCAGAUUAUCAACUAACUAAGCUCGAUCUACAUGAGAGAAGUAGGAGUUGUGCAUCAGUGGUAAGAAACAAGUUUUUGAUUUAUAUAUUUACAAAUUACUCUUAGUUAUUGGAAAAACUAACUUAAUGAGAUUUUCUUUUACACUAUUCAUUUGGGCGGGAAUUUGAGAGCCAAAAUCAUUUUGCUUUAAUAUAUAUGUCGAAGCCGCCAUCACGGCCGUAACCAGCAACCCACCACCGCUGCCGACGCAUUCUGCCGCCACCAACCCACCACUGCCGCCGAAGCCACCAUCACUAGUAGCAUGUUGUCUUCAAUUUGAACUUAUUAAAGCCAGAGCUUCUUGACCUUCUUCCUUUGGUUUCACUUUUCUGAUGGAUGGUAUUAAUGAAGUUGCUUUGGAUAGGCUCUCAUUUGUCAUUGAAAUGACAAAAGAUAUCAAGGAAAAAGCGGACAUUGAUAGAAAACUUGGAUCACAACAUUUUGUCUGGUUGCUUAGGGUAAUUUCUAACCAAUCAUUUCUUAUUAUUAGAUAUUGCUUGGUAGAUCGCAGUGCUAACUUCUAAAGUCUUUCAUAAAACAAAACAUGACUUUUACAUGAAAUACAUGGAGCUUGCACUGCGUAAUGUUAAAGGUGAUGAGAAGGAUGUAUCUACUAAAAAUGAGGUAUUCUAUAUAAACACCUUCUGCAUAAAAAGUUGAUUUCUUCAUUUCUUGCAUUUAGUAUUUAGAUUCUUUCUUUUCGUAUAUUCAACAACUUUGAUGUUAACCAUUGUAGAUUAGGAAUUCCAUUUGUGGUUAUUUUCCCCUUGAGGGCGGGUUAUAUGUAUGCUGAUAUAAUGCUACUUUUUGUGUGCAAUUGAAUUAUGGUAAUAUAUAAUAUUAUUUUGAUUUCUUUUCUCUCUCCCAUGCAUGUAGGAGGAACCCCGGCCAGAAUUUAUGAAAGAUCUUUAUUCUCUGAAAAAAUUUGUCCUCAAACAAGUUGAGGAUCAAGUUAUUGUAACGACAAUGAUUGAAUCUAAUUUUGUUAGAGCUAUUCAAUGUUUCCUUGACAGUAUUGAUAAUAAUGUUGUUCCCAUAAUUAAGUUUUCAUGAGAGGUUAGUGUGACUUUGCAUGUUAGACCCUUAAUCCGAUAGGAUCACUUUGCAUGUUAGACCCCUAACUCGAUAGGAUCACAAGUUAUAAUUUUCGUUAUUGGCCUAUGAGAGACUAGAGACUGGAUUUGAAUGAGCGGUUCUGUUCUGUUCUCCCUAACUGUGAAUGAGGAGAAGCAAAACAUGAGACAGAGAGUGUGAAAGAGAUUUUAUUUCAAUUCCAACUCCCAUCUCCCUCUAGAGCAUGCUGCUACUUAGUUUAUAAAAGAGCUACAAUAGGAAAUAACAAUAUUAUGCUGGGAAUAUAAUGAAUCCUAAAUAUCUUAGUUGUUGAAAAUAAGAAAUCUAAUCCUGAUAAUUGAUCUACUGUAUCAUAUGCUGAUCUUAUGCUUCCUUCUAUAGUACUAUUUGCUAAUGUAUGCAUUAAUGACUCCUCGUAUUGUUAUUAUGUUUAUCUUGAGCUUUGUUAACUUUGUUAGAGUUUCACGAAAGUAAGGGGUAUGCUGAAGCUGUUAAGUUUUAUAUGUCGUCUUUUACUUUCGACCUUUUUACUUCUUUUGAAAAGGUAAGUGGUGUUGAUUCUUUAAUUUGAUAAUUUCUAAAUUCUAAUAUUUAGGUAAUUGUAGACUACAAAGAAAAUUCAGAAAUCCACGCGUAAAUUUAAUGAUCCUACAAUUCAAGUAACAUAUGUGAAGCAUUUUCAGCAGUUUAUUGAAAUGUAACAUCCAAUUCCCUUUCAAUAAACAGCUGAAAAUGCUUCACAUAUAUUACUUGAAUUGUAGGAUCAUUAAAUUUACGCGUGGAUUUCUGAAUUUUCUUUGUAGUUUGCAAUUACCUAAAUAUUAGAAUUUAGAAAUUAUCAGAUUAAAUAAUCCGUUGAUUGAAACACCACUUACCUUUUCAAAAGAAGUAAAAGGGUCAGAAGCAAAAGAAGACAUAUAAAACUUAACAGCUUCAGCAUAAGUUUUUCCACAUCUUGCUUCCGUGAAACUCUAACAAAGUCAACGAAGCUCUGGAUAAAUAUAAUAACAAUAUGAGGAGUCAUUAAUGCAUUCAUGGGCAAAUAGUACUAUAGAAUAAAACAUAAGAUCAACAUAUGAUACAGCAGAUCAAUCACCAGGAUUGAGAUUUUUUAUUUUCAACAACUAAGAUAUUUAGGAUUCAUUAUAUUCAAAGUAUAAUAUUGUUGCUUCCUAUUGUAGCUCUUUUGUAAAUUAAGUAGCAGCAAUAAAAUCUCUUUUACAAACUCUCUCUUUCAUGUUGCUUCUCCUCAUUCCCAGUUGGGAAGAACAAAACCGUUCAUUCAAAUCCAGUCACUAGUCUCUCAUAGGCCAAUAACGAAAAUUGUAACUUGUAAUCCUAUUGGAUUAGGGGUCUAACAUGCAAAGUGACCUAUAGACUUAAUUGUGGGAAAAACAUUAUCAUCAACACUCUUAAGAAAAUAUUGAAUAACUCUAACAAAAUUAGAUCCAGUCAUUGUCGUUACAAUAACUUGAUCCUCAAGCACAAAUUCUUUCAGAGAAUAAAGAUCUUUCAUAAAUUCUGGUUGGGGUUCCUCAUGCAUGCAUUUGCAUGAGAGAGAGAAAAGAAAUCAAAUUAAUAUUAUAUACUGCCAUAAUUCAAUUGCACACAAAAAGUAACAUUAUAUCAGCAUACAUAUAACCCACCUUCAAGGGGAAAAUAACCGCAAAUGGAAUUCCUAAUCUGCAACGGUUAGCAUCUUCGAAAAAGAAAGAAUCGAAAUACUAAAUGCAAGAAAUGAAGAAAUCAACUUUUUAUGCUUAAGGUGUUUAUAUAGAAUACCUCAUUUUUAGUAGAUACAUCCUUCCCAUCACCUUUAACAUUACGCAGUGCAAGCUCCAUGUAUUUCAAGUAAAAGUCUUGUUCUGAUUUAUGGAAGACUUUAAAAGUUAGCACUACGAUCUACCAAGCGAUAUCCAAUAAUAAGAAAUGAUAGGUUAGAAAUUACCCUAAGCAACCAAACAAAAUGCCGUUAUCUAAGCUAACUCUUUUUGCUUAUGCCUUUAUACUUACUGACAGUUUUGCUAGAGGGGAUUUCUUCCUCACUCUUCAUCUCUGUAGACAUUUUCUUCAACAAACCCAUUUCAACUUUCUUCAACAAACCUAUUUCUUCA
This is a long non-coding RNA of Ipomoea triloba (trilobed morning glory), 3571 nucleotides long. RefSeq lists it as uncharacterized. The record is from RefSeq and is a predicted model, not a curated record. The transcript is spliced from 4 exons. Lineage: Eukaryota; Viridiplantae; Streptophyta; Magnoliopsida; Solanales; Convolvulaceae.